CUACGGGAUGCUGCAGUGAGGAAUAUUGGUCAAUGGACGAGAGUCUGAACCAGCCAAGUCGCGUGAAGGAAGAAGGUUCUAUGGAUUGUAAACUUCUUUUGUAAGGGAAUAAAAAGAGUUACGUGUAACUUAUUGUAUGUACUUUACGAAUAAGGAUCGGCUAACUCCGUGCCAGCAGCCGCGGUAAUACGGAGGAUCCAAGCGUUAUCCGGAUUUAUUGGGUUUAAAGGGUGCGUAGGCGGUUGUUUAAGUCAGUGGUGAAAGUUUGCAGCUCAACUGUAAAAUUGCCAUUGAAACUGAAUAGCUUGAGUGUAAAUGAGGUAGGCGGAAUGUGUUGUGUAGCGGUGAAAUGCUUAGAUAUAACACAGAACACCAAUUGCGAAGGCAGCUUACUAGGAUACAACUGACGCUGAGGCACGAAAGCGUGGGGAUCAAACAGGAUUAGAUACCCCGGUAGUC
Molecule: ribosomal RNA, 459 nt
Filed under: uncultured bacterium
Lineage: Bacteria
Description: partial 16S ribosomal RNA
Rfam family: Bacterial small subunit ribosomal RNA
Source: RNAcentral